Molecule: long non-coding RNA, 1488 nt
Organism: Clupea harengus (Atlantic herring)
Lineage: Eukaryota; Metazoa; Chordata; Actinopteri; Clupeiformes; Clupeidae
Source: Ensembl
UCGUUUUUUAAUCAUUAAUUUAUUUAAAAAUAAAGACAAGGAGUAAAGAAACAAGUGUGCAUGAACUGAAAUAAAAACAGGGUUGUGAGUGAACAGAAAAGAACCGUGCGGUUACUUCCUCUCCUCUUCCUCUUCUCUCUCAGCGACACAGAAGAGUAACCGUAACCCUAAAGUCGUGCCAAACCGGAUACUUCAGGCUACGACACAGUACUGCAACACACACACACACACAGACACACACAGACACAGGUAUGGUUUCUACAUUAAGCACACGGGUGCAUCUCAUUAACAUGUGUACCAGUUGUACAGAGGAGACUUGACUACUAGACUAGACUAGAUUACUGCAGGAGCUGAGUUUGGGGAUCUGAGGAGACUAGAUUACUGCAGGAGCUGAGUUUGGGGAUCUGAGGAGACUAGAUUACUGCAGGAGCUGAGUUUGGGGAUCUGAGGAGACUAGAUUACUGCAGGAGCUGAAUUUGGGGAUCUGUAUUAACAUCAGGACACAUUCUGUUGCUGGGGUUAAUCUGAUGCAGUAAAUGAAAGAUUGAAGUGACUCAGGCUUAAAUGUGUGUGUUGGAAGUGACCAGCGGUGUGUGUUUGAAGUGCCCAGCGGCGUGUGUUCAAGUCAAACACACACACUCUGUUCCACCACAGACGUGGAGGAAAGACUUCCUGUGGGGAAUUCUGGGAAACGUAGUCAAAAGCUUGCAACACUUCACGUAUUGAACAUAGUCACGCAUUCAGUCAUAUUCAUCACACAGCAGCAACAGGAAGGAAUCUUCACAACCAUGACUCCCAUACAUUCUAGAAUGAACAUUCAAAUAAAAGGACUGAUUGGUCAAAGCCAACUAGAAACUAGAACUAUUACUUAUUAUAAAAAGUUGCAGUUUAUUUCAUUUGUGAGAACUCGUUUAGUACCGAGACUUUUAUUUCAAGGUCAUCCUCUGUUAUAACUCACACAGAUUUCACACAGGGUUUCACACUCAGAAACUCAGAAACUCAGAGCCUGUGGACAUCAUCAAUAAGAUGUACAAUUAGUGCCAAAUCAGACACAUAUUUGGCUUGAGACCAACUGACUACUAAAUGAAAUUAAAUGAUUUAUUCUGUCAUUUCAUGCAUUACUUAGUUAGUCUAGACGUAUGUACUGCUGAACCGACCGGUGACCAGUGACCAGUGACCAAGAGCUCCUACAGGAGUGCUGGUAGCGGCGUUGCCAUGGUGAAAUCCUGGCCCAGUAGGAGCGGAGAGAAACACGAGCCUCUUGUCUGAGAUGCUCAUUGGACGGUCGGGCCGUAAGGCUGCUAGCAUCAGUGUAGAUUACAUAGACGGGACACACACACACACCUUUGGUUCCUUCACUGGUGGGUGUGCCCACAGCUCUACGGUGCUGUCCUUACACACACACACACACACACAGGAUUGUCCUUCCAGUUCAUGCACUUUCAUGACUUCCGUGAGUGGUGGUUCUAUCAGUAAAGUGACCCCCCC